UACGGGGGGGGCAAGCGUUGUUCGGAAUUACUGGGCGUAAAGGGCUCGUAGGCGGCCAACUAAGUCGUACGUGAAAUCCCCAGGCUCAACCUGGGAACUGCGUCCGAUACUGGAUGGCUUGAAUUCGGGAGAGGGAUGCAGAAUUCCAGGUGUAGCGGUGAAAUGCGUAGAUAUCUGGAGGAAUACCGGUGGCGAAGGCGGCUGCCUGGGCCAGUUCUGACGCUGAGGCGCGAAAGCGUGGGGAGCAAACAGG
RNAcentral lists this ribosomal RNA (253 nucleotides) under uncultured bacterium. Its description in RNAcentral is "partial 16S ribosomal RNA". It matches the Rfam family "Bacterial small subunit ribosomal RNA", at positions 524 to 776 of the family's 1533-position model. The record is from RNAcentral.